CCCAAAUUCAAACCAAACAUUCCCCUCUCUCUCUCGCGCUCUCUCUCUCUCUCUCUCUCUCACAGCGCUCCGUCGAUCCCGCGCCUCCAACCAAGGACCUCAGCUCCGGAAUUGUCAAAUAGCCUUAAAGAACCGAUUGGAAUCGUCAAAUAUCCUUAAAGAACCGAUUUUGAUUUGCCUUUGCAAGUUCAUAGCAUCUGCACGCACAUUGCUACCACCAGAGUAUGUCCAAGAAUUUCAGAACUGUUUUGAUAGAGCUCCUGCAGUUCCUUUUGAAGACAUUCAAAGCAUUUUGCAUUUUGAAUAUGUUGACUCGACUCCUAUUGCUUCAGCUUCGAUAGCAUAGGUUCUUGGUGCAAGGCUUAGAGGCUCCCAACAGGAUAUAUUGGUGGCAGAUCUGAAUUUUGUUUACAUUGUUGCUUCGCAUAUUGGAGUUUUUGAAUCCUGAAUUCAGCCAUGCAUCACUGGCAAGAACUGUGUACGUAUGCAGUUGACAGUUCAUCAAAGGCAUUAUUAGGCCCACUACAUUUUUCUUGGGAUGUAGAUGAACACCGUCAGGGUGAAAAUGAAUCAGACAACUUAAUUGAAGAUUAAAAGAACGUCUGCAUUUGCCUCAUGAGGAAGAUGAAACUUCUUCCAAGUGAAGAUGAGCCAAAGCAAAAACUUAAUCGAA
This is a long non-coding RNA of Alnus glutinosa, 673 nucleotides long. RefSeq lists it as uncharacterized. NCBI's taxonomy places the organism in Eukaryota, Viridiplantae, Streptophyta, Magnoliopsida, Fagales, Betulaceae. The transcript is spliced from 5 exons. The record is from RefSeq and is a predicted model, not a curated record.